This 87-nucleotide non-coding RNA is filed under the name Paenibacillus sp. RNAcentral's name for it is "c-di-GMP sequence". It matches the Rfam family "c-di-GMP-I riboswitch aptamer". From Rfam's summary of the family: GEMM was predicted in a large-scale screen for bacterial structured RNA regulatory elements. Genes associated with GEMM are involved in a diverse array of functions, including chemotaxis regulation, signal transduction, secretion and chitin. Lineage: Bacteria; Bacillati; Bacillota; Bacilli; Caryophanales; Paenibacillaceae. The record is from RNAcentral.
AAAUGAUAAAGGCAAACCUAUUGAAAAAUGGGGACGCAAAGCUACAGGGGCUAACGCGAUUUUUCGCCAUGCCAGCCAGUUGCCGAC